Molecule: transfer RNA, 82 nt
Filed under: Candidatus Beckwithbacteria bacterium RIFCSPHIGHO2_12_FULL_47_17
Lineage: Bacteria; Candidatus Beckwithiibacteriota
Also listed under: 1 other name
Description: tRNA-Leu
Source: RNAcentral
GCCAGGGUGCUGGAACCGGCAGACAGGCACGGUUUAGGACCGUGUGUCGUAAGACGUGGAGGUUCGAUCCCUCUCCCUGGCA